AUUGAACGCUGGCGGCAGGCCUAACACAUGCAAGUCGAACGGCAGCACAGAAGAGCUUGCUCUUUGGGUGGCGAGUGGCGGACGAGUGAGUAAUGUCUGGGAAACUGCCCGAUGGAGGGGGAUAACUACUGGAAACGGUAGCUAAUACCGCAUAACGUCACAAGACCAAAGUGGGGGACCUUCGGGCCUCACACCAUCGGAUGUGCCCAGAUGGGAUUAGCUAGUAGGUGGGGUAAUGGCUCACCUAGGCGACGAUCCCUAGCUGGUCUGAGAGGAUGACCAGCCACACUGGAACUGAGACACGGUCCAGACUCCUACGGGAGGCAGCAGUGGGGAAUAUUGCACAAUGGGCGCAAGCCUGAUGCAGCCAUGCCGCGUGUAUGAAGAAGGCCUUCGGGUUGUAAAGUACUUUCAGCGGGGAGGAAGGCGGUGAGGUUAAUAACCUUGCCGAUUGACGUUACCCGCAGAAGAAGCACCGGCUAACUCCGUGCCAGCCGCCGCAGUAA
RNAcentral lists this ribosomal RNA (506 nucleotides) under uncultured bacterium. RNAcentral describes it as "partial 16S ribosomal RNA". It matches the Rfam family "Bacterial small subunit ribosomal RNA", at positions 30 to 523 of the family's 1533-position model. The record is from RNAcentral.